AUCUUCAUCCUCCUCUUCCUCGCUGUCAAAUUUCGAUUUUUUUGUUUUUUCCUCCUGGAUCUUCCUCCUCGUCUUCUUCCUCCUCCUCUUCAUCCUCCUCUUCCUCGCUCUCAAAUUUCGAUUUUUUGUCCAUUUUUCUGGUCAUUUUUGGCCUUUUUUCCUCAAUUUUUCCCAAUUUUUUCCUGGUUUUCCCUCUUGGAUCUUCCUCUUCCUCCUCUUCAUCCUCAUCUUCCUCCUCCUCUUCCUCUUCGCCUUCCUCCUCCUCACUCUCAAAUUUCGCCUUUUCGGCCCCGUUUUUUGCCAUUUUUUGCCCGAUUUUCCCCGUUUUCCCCCCAUUUUCCCGCUCUGCCUCUUCCUCUUCCCCUCCCUCCUUUUCCUCCCCCUCCAUUUCCCUCAUUUCCCCCCCAUUUUCCCCCGUUUUUCCCCCAUUUUCCUCCUCUUCCUCACGCCCGUUUUUCCCGCCUUUUUCCUCGUUCUUCCCGCCAAUUCCGCCAUUUUCCCGCCCUUCCCCCCGGCCGCCAGGGGGCGCCACCCCCGAGCCGCGCUCCCCGCUGGCCACGCCCCCUUCCAGCUCCGCGCAUGCGCGCUCGGCCUCGCCGCCACCCGGCGCCCUGCGGAGAAGAAAGGGCGUGGUCAGAGAGGGCGUGGCCGCCUCGGGGGCGUGGCCAAACACAGGGCGUGGCCCUCCCGGGGUGGCGGGGGGUUCUCCGGUGCUUCCCCUCCCCCCUCCCGGUACCGUUCGCAGCCGCUCGGCGCCGCCGCUGCCGCCAUUUCUGCGUCCUCAGGGCGGCGACCAAUGAGGAUGGGGAUCAACGGCAGCGGGGCGGGGCUUAAGGCACCGCAACCAAUGAGGCGACAGCGCUAGAAACAAGGUAGUGGCGUCAACCAAUAGAAGCGAGGGAAAGGCGGGAUGGGGUUGAGCGGCAGCUGCUGCAGCCAAUCAAAAAUGAGGCUGGGUGGUGCUGACAGUGCGGGAGUGAGUGGCGGCCGCUUCAACCAAUCAGAAGGCGGCUUGGAGCCGCAACAACCAAUAAGAAGCAGCGGGAGAUGGGACUAAACCGCUGAACCAAUAGCAGCGAAGAAGACGCUGGAAACGGUUGGGGAUUGAUUGCCAGCAGCACUACCCAAUGAAAUUGCAGCAUUCAGGGGGGUCAACCAAUCAGCGCCAGCAGGAGGCGGGAUUUACCCGCGCGCGUGGAGAAGAACCCGGAAGAGGCAGGCGGGGUUGCCUCAGCGGCGACCAAUCAGGAGGCGGCGCGGGAAGGGGAGAGCCAAUGAGGAGCGAGGGGAAGGGCGGGGCUUGUCCGCCAUGAACGGGGCGAGCGAGGGCGAUGGCGGCGGCUACAAACGGCGCUGCCGGGCCCUGAAGCGGCGC
RNAcentral lists this long non-coding RNA (1375 nucleotides) under Chloebia gouldiae (Gouldian finch). RNAcentral describes it as "Erythrura gouldiae (Gouldian finch) lncRNA (ENSEGOG00005017558.1)". Lineage: Eukaryota; Metazoa; Chordata; Aves; Passeriformes; Passeridae. The record is from RNAcentral.